Molecule: ribosomal RNA, 892 nt
Filed under: uncultured bacterium
Lineage: Bacteria
Description: bacterial SSU rRNA
Rfam family: Bacterial small subunit ribosomal RNA
Source: RNAcentral
AAUCAACGCUGGCGGCGUGCCUAACACAUGCAAGUCGAACGCGAAAGGGGCUUCGGCCCUGAGUAGAGUGGCGAACGGGUGAGUAACACGUGGGUGACCUGCCUUCGAGUGGGGGAUAACGUCCCGAAAGGGACGCUAAUACCGCAUGACAUCCCGCUGUUGAAGCGGCGGUGAUUAAAGCUGGGGAUCGCAAGACCUGGCGCUUGAAGAGGGGCCCGCGUCCGAUUAGCUAGUUGGUGGGGUAACGGCCCACCAAGGCAACGAUCGGUAGCCGGCCUGAGAGGGCGGACGGCCACACUGGGACUGAGACACGGCCCAGACUCCUACGGGAGGCAGCAGUGGGGAAUUGUUCGCAAUGGGCGCAAGCCUGACGACGCAACGCCGCGUGGAGGACGAAGAUUUUCGGAUCGUAAACUCCUUUCGAUCGGGACGAAUCGGUCGCGACCCAACACGUCGCGGCACUGACGGUACCGAGAGAAGAAGCCCCGGCUAACUCCGUGCCAGCAGCCGCGGUAAUACGGGGGGGGCAAGCGUUGUUCGGAAUUACUGGGCGUAAAGGGCGCAUAGGCGGCCUGCUAAGUCGGACGUGAAAUCCCCCGGCUCAACCGGGGAACUGCGUCCGAUACUGGUGGGCCCGAAUCCGGGAGAGGGAAUGUGGAAUUCCAGGUGUAGCGGUGAAAUGCGUAGAUAUCUGGAGGAACACCGGUGGCGAAGGCGGCAUCCUGGACCGGCAUUGACGCUGAGGCGCGAAAGCCAGGGGAGCAAACGGGAUUAGAUACCCCGGUAGUCCUGGCCCUAAACGAUGAGUGCUUGGUGUGGCGGGUAUCGAUCCCUGCCGUGCCGAAGCUAACGCAUUAAGCACUCCGCCCGGGGGAGUACAGUCGCAAGGCUG